Molecule: ribosomal RNA, 492 nt
Filed under: uncultured bacterium
Lineage: Bacteria
Description: partial 16S ribosomal RNA
Rfam family: Bacterial small subunit ribosomal RNA
Source: RNAcentral
AGUGAACGCUGGCGGUAGGCCUAACACAUGCAAGUCGAACGGCAGCACAGUAAGAGCUUGCUCUUACGGGUGGCGAGUGGCGGACGGGUGAGGAAUACAUCGGAAUCUACUUUUUCGUGGGGGAUAACGUAGGGAAACUUACGCUAAUAUCGCAUACGACCUACGGGUGAAAGCAGGGGAUCUUCGGACCUUGCGCGAUUGAAUGAGCCGAUGUCGGAUUAGCUAGUUGGCGGGGUAAAGGCCCACCAAGGCGACGAUCCGUAGCUGGUCUGAGAGGAUGAUCAGCCACACUGGAACUGAGACACGGUCCAGACUCCUACGGGAGGCAGCAGUGGGGAAUAUUGGACAAUGGGCGCAAGCCUGAUCCAGCCAUACCGCGUGCGUGAAGAAGGCCUUCGGGUUGUAAAGCCCUUUUGUUGGGCAAGAAAAGCAGCAGGUUAAUACCCCGCUGUUCUGACGGUACCCAAAGAAUAAGCACCGGCUAACUUCGUG